This 314-nucleotide unclassified non-coding RNA is filed under the name plant metagenome. RNAcentral's name for it is "partial contains 5.8S ribosomal RNA, internal transcribed spacer 2, and large subunit ribosomal RNA". The stretch from base 1 to 105 matches the Rfam family "5.8S ribosomal RNA", at positions 50 to 154 of the family's 154-position model. The record is from RNAcentral.
GAAAUGCGAUAAUUAAUGUGAAUUGCAGAAUUCCGUGAAUCAUCGAGUCUUUGAACGCACAUUGCGCCCCCUGGUAUUCCGGGGGGCAUGCCUGUCCGAGCGUCAUUGCUGCCCUCAAGCACGGCUUGUGUGUUGGGCUUCCGUCCCUGGCAACGGGGACGGGCCCAAAAGGCAGUGGCGGCACCAUGUCUGGUCCUCGAGCGUAUGGGGCUUUGUCACCCGCUCCCGUAGGUCCAGCUGGCAGCUAGCCUCGCAACCAAUCUUUUUAACCAGGUUGACCUCGGAUCAGGUAGGGAUACCCGCUGAACUUAAGC